This 700-nucleotide ribosomal RNA is filed under the name Staphylococcus sp. Its description in RNAcentral is "bacterial SSU rRNA". It matches the Rfam family "Bacterial small subunit ribosomal RNA", at positions 61 to 742 of the family's 1533-position model. The record is from RNAcentral. Lineage: Bacteria; Bacillati; Bacillota; Bacilli; Caryophanales; Staphylococcaceae.
UUCGAGCGAACAGACGAGGAGCUUGCUCCCUCUGACGUUAGCGGCGGACGGGUGAGUAACACGUGGAUAACCUACCUAUAAGACUGGGAUAACUUCGGGAAACCGGAGCUAAUACCGGAUAAUAUAUUGAACCGCAUGGUUCAAUAGUGAAAGACGGUUUUGCUGUCACUUAUAGAUGGAUCCGCGCCGCAUUAGCUAGUUGGUAAGGUAACGGCUUACCAAGGCAACGAUGCGUAGCCGACCUGAGAGGGUGAUCGGCCACACUGGAACUGAGACACGGUCCAGACUCCUACGGGAGGCAGCAGUAGGGAAUCUUCCGCAAUGGGCGAAAGCCUGACGGAGCAACGCCGCGUGAGUGAUGAAGGUCUUCGGAUCGUAAAACUCUGUUAUUAGGGAAGAACAAAUGUGUAAGUAACUAUGCACGUCUUGACGGUACCUAAUCAGAAAGCCACGGCUAACUACGUGCCAGCAGCCGCGGUAAUACGUAGGUGGCAAGCGUUAUCCGGAAUUAUUGGGCGUAAAGCGCGCGUAGGCGGUUUUUUAAGUCUGAUGUGAAAGCCCACGGCUCAACCGUGGAGGGUCAUUGGAAACUGGAAAACUUGAGUGCAGAAGAGGAAAGUGGAAUUCCAUGUGUAGCGGUGAAAUGCGCAGAGAUAUGGAGGAACACCAGUGGCGAAAGCGACUUUCUGGUCUGUAACUG